GAUGAACGCUAGCGGCAGGCCUAACACAUGCAAGUCGAGGGGGAGGUUACUUUCGGGUAACUGAGACCGGCGUACGGGCGCGUAACGCGUAUACAAUCUGCCUUUCACUGGGGGAUAGCCCGAAGAAAUUUGGAUUAAUACCCCAUAGUAUAGUAAUACGGCAUCGUGAUGCUAUUAAAGCUUAGGUGGUGAAAGAUGAGUAUGCGUUCUAUUAGCUAGUUGGAGAGGUAACGGCUCCCCAAGGCGAUGAUAGAUAGGGGUUCUGAGAGGGAUGUCCCCCACACUGGUACUGAGAUACGGACCAGACUCCUACGGGAGGCAGCAGUGAGGAAUAUUGGACAAUGGUCGGAAGACUGAUCCAGCCAUGCCGCGUGCAGGAUGAAGGUCUUAUGGAUUGUAAACUGCUUUUGUAAGGGAAGAAUAAGGGCUACGCGUAGUUUGAUGACGGUACCUUACGAAUAAGCAUCGGCUAACUCCGUG
This 480-nucleotide ribosomal RNA is filed under the name uncultured bacterium. RNAcentral describes it as "partial 16S ribosomal RNA". It matches the Rfam family "Bacterial small subunit ribosomal RNA", at positions 28 to 507 of the family's 1533-position model. The record is from RNAcentral.